This 428-nucleotide ribosomal RNA is filed under the name Actinomycetes bacterium. RNAcentral's name for it is "Actinobacteria bacterium partial 16S ribosomal RNA". It matches the Rfam family "Bacterial small subunit ribosomal RNA", at positions 355 to 775 of the family's 1533-position model. The record is from RNAcentral. Lineage: Bacteria; Bacillati; Actinomycetota; Actinomycetes.
UAGGGAAUCUUCCGCAAUGGGCGAAAGCCUGACGGAGCAACGCCGCGUGAGUGAUGAAGGUCUUCGGAUCGUAAAACUCUGUUAUUAGGGAAGAACAAAUGUGUAAGUAACUAUGCACGUCUUGACGGUACCUAAUCAGAAAGCCACGGCUAACUACGUGCCAGCAGCCGCGGUAAUACGUAGGUGGCAAGCGUUAUCCGGAAUUAUUGGGCGUAAAGCGCGCGUAGGCGGUUUUUUAAGUCUGAUGUGAAAGCCCACGGCUCAACCGUGGAGGGUCAUUGGAAACUGGCAAACUUGAGUGCAGAAGAGGAAAGUGGAAUUCCAUGUGUAGCGGUGAAAUGCGCAGAGAUAUGGAGGAACACCAGUGGCGAAGGCGACUUUCUGGUCUGUAACUGACGCUGAUGUGCGAAAGCGUGGGGAUCAAACAG